UCCUAUGUGGCUCAGAUGGUAAAGAAUCUGCCUGCAGUGCAGGAGACCCAGGUUCAAUCCCUGGGUCGGGAG
RNAcentral lists this transfer RNA (72 nucleotides) under Bos taurus (domestic cattle). It matches the Rfam family "tRNA". Rfam says of the family: Transfer RNA (tRNA) molecules are approximately 80 nucleotides in length. Their secondary structure includes four short double-helical elements and three loops (D, anti-codon, and T loops). Further hydrogen bonds mediate the characteristic L-shaped molecular structure. tRNAs have two regions of fundamental functional importance: the anti-codon, which is responsible for specific mRNA codon recognition, and the 3' end, to which the tRNAs corresponding amino acid is attached (by aminoacyl-tRNA synthetases). tRNAs cope with the degeneracy of the genetic code in two manners: having more than one tRNA (with a specific anti-codon) for a particular amino acid; and 'wobble' base-pairing, i.e. permitting non-standard base-pairing at the 3rd anti-codon position. RNAcentral also lists the same sequence under 4 other names. The record is from Rfam by way of RNAcentral. Lineage: Eukaryota; Metazoa; Chordata; Mammalia; Artiodactyla; Bovidae.